RNAcentral lists this ribosomal RNA (547 nucleotides) under Clonostachys rosea. Its description in RNAcentral is "eukaryotic LSU rRNA". The stretch from base 164 to 317 matches the Rfam family "5.8S ribosomal RNA". The record is from RNAcentral. Lineage: Eukaryota; Fungi; Ascomycota; Sordariomycetes; Hypocreales; Bionectriaceae.
GUGGGACUUUCGGAGAUCACUCCCAACCCAUGUGAACAUACCUACUGUUGCUUCGGCGGGAUUGCCCCGGGCGCCUCGUGCGCCCCGGAUCAGGCGCCCGCCUAGGAAACUUAACUCUUGUUUUAUUUUGGAAUCUUCUGAGUAGUUUUUACAAAUAAAUAAAAACUUUCAACAACGGAUCUCUUGGUUCUGGCAUCGAUGAAGAACGCAGCGAAAUGCGAUAAGUAAUGUGAAUUGCAGAAUUCAGUGAAUCAUCGAAUCUUUGAACGCACAUUGCGCCCGCCAGUAUUCUGGCGGGCAUGCCUGUCUGAGCGUCAUUUCAACCCUCAUGCCCCUAGGGCGUGGUGUUGGGGAUCGGCCAAAGCCCGCGAGGGACGGCCGGCCCCUAAAUCUAGUGGCGGACCCGUCGUGGCCUCCUCUGCGAAGUAGUAAUAUUCCGCAUCGGACAGCGACGAGCCCCUGCCGUUAAACCCCCAACUUUCCAAGGUUGACCUCAGAUCAGGUAGGAAUACCCGCUGAACUUAAGCAUAUCAAUAAGCCGGAGGAA